RNAcentral lists this long non-coding RNA (5649 nucleotides) under Nicotiana tabacum (common tobacco). Its description in RNAcentral is "long non-coding RNA (NTAB_LNC002132)". Lineage: Eukaryota; Viridiplantae; Streptophyta; Magnoliopsida; Solanales; Solanaceae. The record is from RNAcentral.
UGAGACAUGCAUCCGGUUAAAAAAAUGGUUAGAAAACAAGUCAGGAAGGUUUAUUGUAAUUUAAUCAAAAUAACUAAUGUUGUAGUUCGACACGUGCUGUUCCAGGUUUGACACGUUGUUACCUAGCAAGAUGUGAAAUUAUUCUCAUCGGCUUCUUCUGUUUUGUUUGUGCAAAACUUUGAUGAUUUUUCAUGUUCCUUCUCUUCUUUGCUCCGUCUUUCAGUUUGUCGUUGCACAUAUGUGCACUAGCUAUUCCAAGUUUUUGCUAUUUGGCUCAUACACAGUAAAGGUAUGAAUACCACCAUUAUUUAGAUUUAAGAUUCAGAUGGGUUUUAAUCUGAACAAUAUUUUCUUCUCAUGUUUUGAAUACGGGUUUGCAUUAGAAGUGUCUGUGAAAUUGCCCGAAAGAAACUACGAUUGACCUAAUUUUUUUUUAAUUUGCUGUUUCGAGAAAUCUUGACUCACACCUUCAAAUGUUUUAAACGUGUGUUUUACCUUUACAAAAUCAGCUUUUCCUGUCAGUUCUUGCGAUCAAUUUGACAACCCUAUUUCUUUAAAAUUUAAACUUUUUGCUUUUUGGGUCUUUCUUUUUUGGUUGAAGUAGCUUUAUGUCAAAACUAAUUAAUUGGUGCAUGAAUAUUGAUUGACGAGUGUCUGAAACCAUGAAGACAAAUAGCAUAUGAAUAUUUGAUAUUCCAUUAAUAGAGUAUAAUUUAGUUGAUGAUAAGUGAUUAGUUGGCAAUCGCAUGGAAUUGUUUACAUGUUCCCCCCUGAUCUUCAAUGGGGUUGAGUUCGUUGUUUGCAAGAAAAUUAUGUGUUUGAAACAUCUCUGAUAUAUGUGUGUAUGGACUAUGGAACGAGAAUGUGACUUGUUCAUUCAAGGAAGAAUUUUAUGUAGUUAGCCAUAAUAUGUUUUUGUUCAUCAUGUUUAAUCUAAAUUAGAAGGAUAAACGAGCGAAAGAGAGACAGAGUUUGUGACUAUAGGUAUCUAUAUAUUUCUGUGUGUGUAAUUAUACUUCCCAGACCCCACUUGUGGGAUUACAGUGGGUUUGUUGUUGUUGUUGUUGUUGUUGUUGUUGUUGUUGUUGUUGUUGUUGUUGUUGUAAUUACAAAAUUGUUCCUUUACAACAAGGAUUCCAUAAGCAUCUUCUACAAUAUUUGGAUGCUUAUGCAAUACAAGACAAGAGUUGUACUAUCUUCAUUGGCAAGAGACAACAUUCACAAGUGUGCUCCUUGAUCUGAUCAAGCACCUAAAGAUAUUGUCCAGGCCAUCCUCAAUGCAUUCAGAAUGAGCUUGCAGAUUUUUCAAUCUGUUCUGUGCAAACUGGAUUGAAGAUUUAGAUUACUUUUGUCUAAAAUAUUAAGUUAAAUGGUGAUAUUAGUAGAAGUGUUUGCAAAAGAUAUCCAGAGCAGUAACAUCAAAUUUUGAUAUCCUUUAAAAUAUUUCGAAUAUCGACAUCAUGCUAAAAAAGUGUUCAAUAUUGUGAAAAGUUCACAUUAGAAUGUGGUUCAAGGGAUAAAACUUAUUGCAAGUUUUAACUAUUAAAUGGAAGAAGUAGGAUAAAAGAGAAUUGGAGAUGAGAUUUGAAUCCUUUUUAAUAAUUAUGAAGCAAUUCCCUAACUUUUUUUAAAAUUUGUUGAAUGAGGAUUUUCAAUAUAGGCUGUGUUAAGCAUACUUCUUUGACAGAAAUAUAAAGGAGAAGACUGGCCUUGUAAAUUGCUAAUUAGCUUAGAAUGUUAUUCCUGAUACCCUUGUAGCUCUUCUCUAAUGAUGAAGAGUACCUAAAUUUUUAUUUACUAUCAUUUUUAGAUGCAAAUUAUGAAAUUUUCUAGGUAUAUGUUGAAUGCUUUCGGAAUAUAUAUAACACAACAAGAAAGACUAAGAAUUAAAACGGAGAUGAUGGUAAUUUGGAAGUUCUAGAUAGUAAAAUCGAUUCAAGAAUUUUUGUCAUACAAUAAAUUUUUACCGGUGAAAAUAAUAUUUCCCUUCCACUUUCUGACUAUUGUUUCCUUAAACUUCAGAAGACAUCUAUGGGAUUAUUUCUCUUUGCAAGAUAAUUACUUAUGUCUAAUUCUCACUACUUAACAGACACACAAUCACUCUGUCUCUGAUGUUAGUUCAUUCGUUAAUUUGUAUUUGACCACUGCGCACCAUUGGUUAAAGCAGCUUAUUAGAUAGACAACUCUUUUGAAUUACAUGGCUUGGUAUACGUUGAUAUCUUCAUUUACGCUCAGUUGUUGUUUGUACUAUGAUAUCCUAUUUUACAAUGUAAAAUAGCUCUGCUUUCACUGAUUGUUACUUAAUUGUUGCUUCCUCAGCAUCUUUUUCUAUUUGGCAAAGAAAAUUUAAUUGUAAUGUUGCAGAAAAACGUGUAGGCCCCUAGAGUAUUGACAUUGUGAAAAAAUACAUUAAUGAAUAGUCGACAGUCAAAAAAAGGUCCUCGCUCGGUGUAGGAAGUUGAUGAUAAAAAUGCCAAAGGAGGAGAGGCACUUGAAAUAUAAUUGCUAUUCUUUUCUAAGGCUUGGCGUACAUAGAAAUCACGAUAUUUAGACGCACUUACCCCAAAAUAAAAAUAGAGACAUUCAUAUGGAGCUUUAGCUUUCCUAUGACGUGGUGUCGAUUAAACGAAAAAUUUAAUAGUUUACCUGUUAUUCGACAUCAAUAGUUAUUGCAAAGGAGAAAUAGGUGAAUUUUUCCAGUUGUUCUAGGUAAAAUGAUAUUUUGUUUAGAGCUCAACUAACUAAAUUCUUGUAGGGAUUGAGUGUAGGAUAUUUAUUACCAAGGACAAGAGCUGAAGGACUGUCCAACCCCAGUUGGGUAUCAGUUUUUCCUGGAGUGUUAUGUAGACAUAUUUUUUACAUUAUCAUCGUAUAAUUAGAAAGCUUUAUCUACUAUUUGACAUUAUAGCACUGGAGGUGCUCACUAUAGUAGCAAGAUAGUUUUCUUCGCCAAAAUUUUAUUUAAAAGAGCAAGCCAGAGAAAAGAAGCGUUUAGAUAAUAUCUUUUAUCCUACUCUCAUCUAUUGAAAAAGGGAGCCCCUUGAUCACCUGAAGAGAUUUUUAGGCAGAAUUGGCAUAAUUAUUACUGUGAGGAUUGAGCUGCCAAAAGAGAUUAUCCUCCUUUGGGCUAGAAGAGAAGAUUUAUGCAGUCCAUAGAAAAAUAAAAAGAAUAAAGUAUUCUGAAGCCAAAUGCUCUUGGAUGGGUAGUUUCUUGGAUGGGUAGUUGAAUAGGAAAAAAGGCGCAAAAUAUGGGUAGUACGUAUUUCACCGUUGAGCUUCCUUUAAAUGAUUCCUACAUGUAUUUAAGGAAGUUUAUAUUGGGGGAAUUAUUUAGUUUACAAAUAUUCGUUGAAGCUUUAGAUUAAUUCAGUUUUAUUUAAGCAUUUAAUCAAAAUAUGGGUAGUACGUAUUUCGCUGUUGAGUUUUGGAUUGAGGCACAAUUUAAUGAUUUGAUUGAUUCCUGAUAUUGUGUAUAUUAACAAUUUCACCUCUUAAUCUCUAGGCAGGAGUAGCUGCAGUAGGAAGGACUGAAUUAACGCAGAUACAUCGGAGUCGAGAAGUUAGUCAAUCAUAUGUUACCUCCAUUGGACGACAUUUAUUGCUUUGGCGCAUGCGUUCUGGUUGAUGAUCAAGAUUAGACUCAAAGUGGUAAAAAACAAACUUAGUUCAUAUUACUUUCUCGGAAACCCCCUCUCCCAACACAACUUUUUUGCAUCUCCAGAUUCUUUUUUCCUUUUAAGAUCCUGCUUAACUUAUUUAUAUAUUUUUGAUAUCCCAUAUCUUGUGCAACGGCCCAGGAACAUGUACUCCAAUAUGUCUAAUUGCCUUCUUUUUUAAGGUUCGUAUUUUAGGGAGUGAUAUUUCUGUUUUCCUUUUUCGAUUUGCCUCAGUAUGACUGAAUUGCAUGAUAAAAAAUGCUUGAUCCAAAUCCCAAUAAGUUUGAGGUUACACAUGGAUCAUAUCUGUUACUAUAUUUCUGAUUUGGGAUAUCAGCUCAUCAGAGCUUGAUUCAGAAUGCAUCUCACUUAGCUUUUAAUUGUACAGAGGCGAUAAAAGUGUGCAUUAAUCGUUGGACCAUUUCUAUAUUUCUUUUGGGGCAUUAUGGUAGGUGCUAUUAGGAACUCUAUUUACCAAUAGUCGAGCUUAUUUUAAGAAUCCUAUCAUAUUCCUACACCAUUGGCCCUUCCUUCAAAUUAAAAUUAAUAAUAAAAGAAAACUAAAUAAGAACAAAUAGAUGAAAAAGGAGAGAAAAAAGUUAAUAAACUUAGCGAGAAAUAAGAUUUGGUAAAGCUACUUGAUUUUUUUAUGUGGAAAGCAUUUUAAGAAUCACGACACUUUCUUUGAGUGGUUUGCUUCUUUACAAGCUACGCAUGGUUGAUCAGUUAUUUGUCCAAUGGCCACUCAUUGUGUGGGUUCUCUUAUGUAAAUAGAGUCGUUUCCAAGGCACCACUCAUAGUCAACCUCCUUUGUGCGAUCGGAGGAACUUAAUAGUAUAAUAUUAGGCCCUACUUCUCUUAGAUAUUGCUGAUAUGCGCAAGAUUUGCUGGGUGGUGUUGUAUUUACCAUAGGUAUAAUUGAUAUAGUGGUUUUGCCAAUUAACAUGGGUACACACACUAUACCUGAUGUAACCUUAUGUUCUCAUAGCCAAAGGAACCUAUAUUUAUAAUUAUCAUUCACUUUUAAACUUUUACAUUUAAUGUUGCAAUGAUUUGUGUCACCCUUUCUUUAAAUGAAAAUCACAUUUGUUCAAGAACUUUUAGAAAAAACUUAAAACAGAUCAAAAGCUCAAAGGUGAACUGCAAUGGUCCAUAGGUAAGGGAGAUAUCCUAUUGACUGCCAAAAUCGACUUAAUAUUGUAAAUUCUUGGCCGCCUAACCGAAUUAUAUUAGUGAUGUAGAAUGGGGUUGAUGAUAACUAAUGUGUAUAUUUUUGUUUUGAUACAAACUUCUUUGGUGGGUUGAGGGCACGAGUAUAUGAUUUUGAGAUGACGAAAUGAGGUUCAGGAACUGGAAUUGAAGCUAUUGGGAACAAACUUCUGAACUCUUUCGACGGACCCCCGACUUUUGAGCAACCAAAAAUGACUAUUGAGAAGCUCCUUGAGUAUGGUAACAUGCUCAAGAACAAGAGAAUGUGAAGAGAAUUCAGUUGGCAGACAUGCAUCUUAAAGAGGAGCACUUAGAGAUGCAAAUGUUGAUAGCAUUAAUACUGAAAACUUAUAAUGUCAUCAAUCUAAAGUCUAAAUAAGAGGUUUUGAUUUCCUAUUUCAAAAGCUUUGAUUAAUAAUAAGUUUGAUGAUUAGAAAAGAAUUUUGAAAAUUUUGCAUUACUGUAUGGAUGCAGGGAAGAAAGGACAACAAUCUAAUUGUCCUGUUGCUGAAGUUUCUAUUGAAUCAAGUACUAAAAAACUUGAUUCAACUUUCAAGAGUGAUGAUAAAACUUAUAUCUUCAGUUCUUUGAGAUAUUUUGCGAGGGUAGCUAUAGAAUGUGACUAUAACUUUGUAAUAUAUAAAAUCAGUUGCAUUCCAUUCAUAUCCGAGUACAAACUCCAAAUAAUCUUUUGAUUCAGUUACAAUCGAAAGGAUAACAGUGUAUAAUAAAACAAUAUACCUUUAUUCAUGUUGACCCCGGGCUAAGCCCGGGCUACCCCCAC